This 102-nucleotide microRNA precursor is filed under the name Marmota monax (woodchuck). The record is from RNAcentral. Lineage: Eukaryota; Metazoa; Chordata; Mammalia; Rodentia; Sciuridae.
AGUGCAAUUGCUGGGCUAUACAGAAAGUGUAUGUUGAUUUUAUAUGAAAUUUCCAAGCUAUUUUCCAAAAUGUUUUUUUUAUCUUGUAUUCCCAUUAGCAAU